RNAcentral lists this ribosomal RNA (464 nucleotides) under uncultured bacterium. Its description in RNAcentral is "bacterial SSU rRNA". It matches the Rfam family "Bacterial small subunit ribosomal RNA", at positions 339 to 796 of the family's 1533-position model. The record is from RNAcentral.
CUACGGGAGGCAGCAGUUUCGAAUCAUUCACAAUGGGCGAAAGCCUGAUGGUGCGACGCCGCGUGAGGGAUGAAGGUCUUCGGAUUGUAAACCUCUGUCACUGGGGAAGAAACGCUAAGCGUGAAUAUCGCUUAGCCUGACUUAACCCGGAGAGGAAGCAGUGGCUAACUCUGUGCCAGCAGCCGCGGUAAUACAGAGACUGCAAGCGUUAUUCGGAUUCACUGGGCGUAAAGGGUGCGCAGGCGGCCGUGUGUGUGAGGUGUGAAAUCCCGGAGCUUAACUCCGGAACUGCGCCUCAAACUACACGGCUAGAGCAUUGGAGAGGGAAGUGGAAUUCACGGUGUAGCAGUGAAAUGCGUAGAUAUCGUGAGGAACACCAGAGGCGAAGGCGACUGCCUGGACAAUUGCUGACGCUCAGGCACGAAAGCGGGGGGAGCAAAAGGGAUUAGAAACCCUAGUAGUCC